ACAAGGAUAAAAGCACGUCCCGGCCGGUAGUCCGGGAGUCCCGAUCACGGGAUCAGUAACCUGCCUCCUUUGGUUGUCCGUUCCUUGC
RNAcentral lists this non-coding RNA (88 nucleotides) under human gut metagenome. RNAcentral describes it as "yjdF RNA". It matches the Rfam family "azaaromatic riboswitch aptamer (yjdF RNA)", at positions 6 to 91 of the family's 101-position model. The record is from RNAcentral.